This 314-nucleotide ribosomal RNA is filed under the name uncultured Actinomycetes bacterium. RNAcentral describes it as "bacterial SSU rRNA". It matches the Rfam family "Bacterial small subunit ribosomal RNA", at positions 233 to 559 of the family's 1533-position model. The record is from RNAcentral. Lineage: Bacteria; Bacillati; Actinomycetota; Actinomycetes.
GCGGCCUAUCAGCUUGUUGGUGGGGUAGUGGCUUACCAAGGCUUUGACGGGUAGCCGGCCUGAGAGGGUGACCGGCCACAUUGGGACUGAGAUACGGCCCAGACUCCUACAGGAGGCAGCAGUGGGGAAUAUUGCACAAUGGGCGGAAGCCUGAUGCAGCAACGCCGCGUGCGGGAUGACGGCCUUCGGGUUGUAAACCGCUUUCGCCUGUGACGAAUCUUUUGUGACGGUAAUGGGUAAAGAAGCACCGGCUAACUACGUGCCAGCAGCCGCGGUGAUACGUAGGGUGCGAGCGUUGUCCGGAUUUAUUGGGC